This is a long non-coding RNA of Pseudoliparis swirei, 525 nucleotides long. RefSeq lists it as uncharacterized. The record is from RefSeq and is a predicted model, not a curated record. Lineage: Eukaryota; Metazoa; Chordata; Actinopteri; Perciformes; Liparidae. The transcript has 2 exons.
GAUGUAUGAUACAUUAUUAAUUUAUAUUGGAGAAUUUCAAACUGAGGACUACAGUUGUUGGAGCUCGCGUACAGGAGGGUCCGUGCCAAUUAAGCACCGCUCCAUGCAGAAGACAUUUAAAGGGCACUUUACCUGGUAGCUCAGGAUGCUCUCAGGGUCGUUGGCUGGUGUACUCAUGGCUUUUGGGUUAACCUGCACAGUGUUCACGGAGUAUACAGACAUGAUGAGUUUAAACAUCGCGUCUUGAUGAAGGAUUUGGUGAAAAGCGUAAUGUUUCCCUGGCCGUGUUAUGAUGAUUUCCCGUCAGCGCUUCCACCUCCCCUCCCUCCUGUCCUGGCUGUGGGAGCAGGAUGCAAUGAGCAUCGCUACAGCAUCAGCCAAUCAGCGCGCAGCGGCACACAACGGGCUGCAACGCACUGCUGCUACCCAACACAACCAAGACUAGUCUAAGCUUAUACGUUACUCUAUGUCCAGAUUAGCAGCUUCUCAUAUUGCAACCCCUAAAAUGUACUGGAUAUGACACAG